GGUUAAGCGACUAAGCGUACACGGUGGAUGCCCUGGCAGUCAGAGGCGAUGAAGGACGUGCUAAUCUGCGAUAAGCGUCGGUAAGGUGAUAUGAACCGUUAUAACCGGCGAUUUCCGAAUGGGGAAACCCAGUGUGAUUCGUCACACUAUCAUUAACUGAAUCCAUAGGUUAAUGAGGCGAACCGGGGGAACUGAAACAUCUAAGUACCCCGAGGAAAAGAAAUCAACCGAGAUUCCCCCAGUAGCGGCGAGCGAACGGGGAGCAGCCCAGAGCCUGAAUCAGUGUGUGUGUUAGUGGAAGCGUCUGGAAAGGCGCGCGAUACAGGGUGACAGCCCCGUACACAAAAAUGCACAUGCUGUGAGCUCGAUGAGUAGGGCGGGACACGUGGUAUCCUGUCUGAAUAUGGGGGGACCAUCCUCCAAGGCUAAAUACUCCUGACUGACCGAUAGUGAACCAGUACCGUGAGGGAAAGGCGAAAAGAACCCCGGCGAGGGGAGUGAAAAAGAACCUGAAACCGUGUACGUACAAGCAGUGGGAGCACGCUUAGGCGUGUGACUGCGUACCUUUUGUAUAAUGGGUCAGCGACUUAUAUUCUGUAGCAAGGUUAACCGAAUAGGGGAGCCGAAGGGAAACCGAGUCUUAACUGGGCGUUAAGUUGCAGGGUAUAGACCCGAAACCCGGUGAUCUAGCCAUGGGCAGGUUGAAGGUUGGGUAACACUAACUGGAGGACCGAACCGACUAAUGUUGAAAAAUUAGCGGAUGACUUGUGGCUGGGGGUGAAAGGCCAAUCAAACCGGGAGAUAGCUGGUUCUCCCCGAAAGCUAUUUAGGUAGCGCCUCGUGAAUUCAUCUCCGGGGGUAGAGCACUGUUUCGGCAAGGGGGUCAUCCCGACUUACCAACCCGAUGCAAACUACGAAUACCGGAGAAUGUUAUCACGGGAGACACACGGCGGGUGCUAACGUCCGUCGUGAAGAGGGAAACAACCCAGACCGCCAGCUAAGGUCCCAAAGUCAUGGUUAAGUGGGAAACGAUGUGGGAAGGCCCAGACAGCCAGGAUGUUGGCUUAGAAGCAGCCAUCAUUUAAAGAAAGCGUAAUAGCUCACUGGUCGAGUCGGCCUGCGCGGAAGAUGUAACGGGGCUAAACCAUGCACCGAAGCUGCGGCAGCGACGCUGAUGCGUUGUUGGGUAGGGGAGCGUUCUGUAAGCCUGCGAAGGUGUGCUGUGAGGCAUGCUGGAGGUAUCAGAAGUGCGAAUGCUGACAUAAGUAACGAUAAAGCGGGUGAAAAGCCCGCUCGCCGGAAGACCAAGGGUUCCUGUCCAACGUUAAUCGGGGCAGGGUGAGUCGACCCCUAAGGCGAGGCCGAAAGGCGUAGUCGAUGGGAAACAGGUUAAUAUUCCUGUACUUGGUGUUACUGCGAAGGGGGGACGGAGAAGGCUAUGUUGGCCGGGCGACGGUUGUCCCGGUUUAAGCGUGUAGGCUGGUUUUCCAGGCAAAUCCGGAAAAUCAAGGCUGAGGCGUGAUGACGAGGCACUACGGUGCUGAAGCAACAAAUGCCCUGCUUCCAGGAAAAGCCUCUAAGCAUCAGGUAACAUCAAAUCGUACCCCAAACCGACACAGGUGGUCAGGUAGAGAAUACCAAGGCGCUUGAGAGAACUCGGGUGAAGGAACUAGGCAAAAUGGUGCCGUAACUUCGGGAGAAGGCACGCUGAUAUGUAGGUGAAGUCCCUCGCGGAUGGAGCUGAAAUCAGUCGAAGAUACCAGCUGGCUGCAACUGUUUAUUAAAAACACAGCACUGUGCAAACACGAAAGUGGACGUAUACGGUGUGACGCCUGCCCGGUGCCGGAAGGUUAAUUGAUGGGGUUAGCGCAAGCGAAGCUCUUGAUCGAAGCCCCGGUAAACGGCGGCCGUAACUAUAACGGUCCUAAGGUAGCGAAAUUCCUUGUCGGGUAAGUUCCGACCUGCACGAAUGGCGUAAUGAUGGCCAGGCUGUCUCCACCCGAGACUCAGUGAAAUUGAACUCGCUGUGAAGAUGCAGUGUACCCGCGGCAAGACGGAAAGACCCCGUGAACCUUUACUAUAGCUUGACACUGAACAUUGAGCCUUGAUGUGUAGGAUAGGUGGGAGGCUUUGAAGUGUGGACGCCAGUCUGCAUGGAGCCGACCUUGAAAUACCACCCUUUAAUGUUUGAUGUUCUAACGUGGACCCGUAAUCCGGGUUGCGGACAGUGUCUGGUGGGUAGUUUGACUGGGGCGGUCUCCUCCUAAAGAGUAACGGAGGAGCACGAAGGUUGGCUAAUCCUGGUCGGACAUCAGGAGGUUAGUGCAAUGGCAUAAGCCAGCUUGACUGCGAGCGUGACGGCGCGAGCAGGUGCGAAAGCAGGUCAUAGUGAUCCGGUGGUUCUGAAUGGAAGGGCCAUCGCUCAACGGAUAAAAGGUACUCCGGGGAUAACAGGCUGAUACCGCCCAAGAGUUCAUAUCGACGGCGGUGUUUGGCACCUCGAUGUCGGCUCAUCACAUCCUGGGGCUGAAGUAGGUCCCAAGGGUAUGGCUGUUCGCCAUUUAAAGUGGUACGCGAGCUGGGUUUAGAACGUCGUGAGACAGUUCGGUCCCUAUCUGCCGUGGGCGCUGGAGAACUGAGGGGGGCUGCUCCUAGUACGAGAGGACCGGAGUGGACGCAUCACUGGUGUUCGGGUUGUCAUGCCAAUGGCACUGCCCGGUAGCUAAAUGCGGAAGAGAUAAGUGCUGAAAGCAUCUAAGCACGAAACUUGCCCCGAGAUGAGUUCUCCCUGACUCCUUGAGAGUCCUGAAGGAACGUUGAAGACGACGACGUUGAUAGGCCGGGUGUGUAAGCGCAGCGAUGCGUUGAGCUAACCGGUACUAAUGAACCGUGAGGCUUAACCUU
RNAcentral lists this ribosomal RNA (2904 nucleotides) under Escherichia coli. Its description in RNAcentral is "23S ribosomal RNA". It matches the Rfam family "Bacterial large subunit ribosomal RNA". The record is from RNAcentral. Lineage: Bacteria; Pseudomonadati; Pseudomonadota; Gammaproteobacteria; Enterobacterales; Enterobacteriaceae.